RNAcentral lists this ribosomal RNA (253 nucleotides) under uncultured bacterium. RNAcentral's name for it is "partial 16S ribosomal RNA". It matches the Rfam family "Bacterial small subunit ribosomal RNA", at positions 524 to 776 of the family's 1533-position model. The record is from RNAcentral.
UACAUGUGGGGCAAGCGUUGUUCGGAAUUACUGGGCAUAAAGGGUGCGUAGGCGGUUUGUUAAGUCACUGGUGAAAGUUUUCGGCCCAACCGGAAAAUUGCCUGUGAUACUGGCGAACCUGAGUGCGUGAGGGGUGGGGGGAACGAGCAGUGUAGCGGUGAAAUGCGUAGAUAUCGGGAGGAACACCAGUGGCGAAGGCGACUACCUGGCCUGUUCUUGACGCUGAGGCGCGAAAGCUAGGGGAGCAAACGGG